This 370-nucleotide ribosomal RNA is filed under the name uncultured bacterium. Its description in RNAcentral is "bacterial SSU rRNA". It matches the Rfam family "Bacterial small subunit ribosomal RNA", at positions 523 to 898 of the family's 1533-position model. The record is from RNAcentral.
AUACAUAGGGGGCAAGCGUUAUCCGGAAUUAUUGGGCGUAAAGCGUGCGUAGGCGGAAUAUUAAGUCAUUUGUAAAAGAUCUCGGCCCAACCGAGUAAGGCGAAUGAAACUGGUAAUCUUGAGUACGGUAGAGGUAAGUGGAAUUCCAAGUGUAGCGGUGGAAUGCGUAGAUAUUUGGAGGAACACCGAUGGCGAAGGCAGCUUACUGGGCCGGAACUGACGCUGAGGCACGAAAGCGUGGGUAGCAAACAGGAUUAGAUACCCUGGUAGUCCACGCCGUAAACGAUGAGAACUAAGUGUUGGAGUGAAAUUCAGUGCUGAAGUUAACGCAAUAAGUUCUCCGCCUGGGUAGUACGGUCGCAAGACUGAA